RNAcentral lists this long non-coding RNA (347 nucleotides) under Olea europaea (common olive). Its description in RNAcentral is "long non-coding RNA (OEUR_LNC010923)". Lineage: Eukaryota; Viridiplantae; Streptophyta; Magnoliopsida; Lamiales; Oleaceae. The record is from RNAcentral.
CAAUGGCGAACUUCCUUUUCUGCUCGACACUGCCCAUUAUCGGAAGCCCGUACUGCAACAGAAGCCCAUCAAUUUUCCACUCCGGCAUCGAUUCGUAAUCCGAUUCAGAGUACUUUGGAUAGUGCAAUGGCAUUUGGAAGCACGUUUUCUCGUUCCCUUGAUAGCCACCACCAAUUCUUAUAAGUCGCGUUUUUCCAUUUGACUCCAUCUCGUUCAGAUUGUUACGCCUUUCGUACGAGUCGGAACUAUCCUACGCCUCUUUUUCAGUCUUAUGUUUGGAGCAAAAGCGUGAAACUGGUCUUUAUACACGGCAUUUCGUGCACAACAAGAAUUCUAGCGUUGAAAAG